This 977-nucleotide ribosomal RNA is filed under the name uncultured bacterium. Its description in RNAcentral is "bacterial SSU rRNA". It matches the Rfam family "Bacterial small subunit ribosomal RNA", at positions 517 to 1501 of the family's 1533-position model. The record is from RNAcentral.
GCAGUUAAUUUCCUGGCAAUUGCAUCCGGGCUGAAAUGGAGCUUGGGUUAGGCGGCAGUAUAAGUCAAGUCGUGGAGAAUCUAUCUGAGCUUCAACUCGUAAACCUGGCAUUGAUACUAUUUAUCUUGUAAUAUUAUUGAGGUAGCGGGAUAGUCAUGUAGCGGUGGAGAUGGCUUAGAUAUGACAUAGAACACCGAUUGCGAAGGCAGCUUGCUAAACAAAUUAUUGACGCUGAGGCACGAAAGCGUGGGGAUCAAACAGGAUUAGAUACCCUGGUAGUCCACGCCCCUAAACGAUGAUUACUGGACAUUUGCGAUAUACAGUGAGUGUCUGAGCGAAAGCAUUAAGUAAUCCACCUGGGAAGUACGUCCGCAAGGAUGAAACUCAAAGGAAUUGACGGGGGUCCGCACAAGCGGUGGAGUAUGUGGUUUAAUUUGAUGAUACGCGAGGAACCUUACCUGGGCUAGAAUGCGCGUGACCGGUUCUGAAAGGAACUCUUUUAGCAAUAGACACAAAGCAAGGUGCUGCAUGGCUGUCGUCAGCUCGUGCCGUGAGGUGUUGGGUUAAGUCCCGCAACGAGCGCAACCCCUAUUUUCAGUUGCCAACAGGUAAUGCUGGGAACUCUGAAGAAACUGCCGCCGUAAGGCGUGAGGAAGGAGGGGAUGAUGUCAAGUCAUCAUGGCCUUUAUGCCCAGGGCUACACACGUACUACAAUGGGGAGGACAAAGGGUCGCUACCUGGCAACAGGAUGCUAAUCUCAAAAACCUUCUCUCAGCUCGGAUUGGGGUGUGCAACUCGACCCCACGAAGCUGGAAUCGCUAGUAAUCGUAGAUCAGCAAUGCUACGGUGAAUACGUUCCCGGACCUUGCACACACCGCCCGUCAAGCCAUGGAAGCCGGGUGUACCUAAAGUCGGUAACCGAAAGGAUCUGCCUAGGGUAAAAUCGGUAACUGGGGCUAAGUCGUAACAAGGUAACC